UAUUACCCACUUCCAAAAGUCUUUACUCUCAUCCUCAGUAACCUUCAUAAAAACAGAUACAAAAACAGGGUUGAUUACUAAAGCAACAAAUAAAGAAGAACUCAAUACAACAAUAAGGGUUAAGGGCAAAUAGAACAUGAACUCGCCCAUCAUUCCUGGCCAUAAGGCCAAUGGUAAAAAUGCAGCCAGAGUAGUUGCUGUAGAUGAUAUUAUGGGCCAAGCAAUUUCUCCUACCCCUUCUUUAGCUGCCUGUAUUGGUGUAUACCCUUCAUCCAUUAAACGAUAUACAUUCUCAACAACCACAAUUCCAUUAUCUACCAACAUUCCAAGUGCCAUGAUCAAACCAAAAAGCACCAUCAUGUUAAUUGUUACUCCUAAAGCACUCAAUAUCAAGAACGAA
RNAcentral lists this ribosomal RNA (400 nucleotides) under phytoplankton environmental sample. RNAcentral describes it as "partial small subunit ribosomal RNA". The record is from RNAcentral.